UUCAACCUGCCAUAUAACCUCACAUACACUCAUCCCUGAUGAUGAUAAUAAAGAUUAUCGAAAGCUUGGAAUCUGUGUUAUGAGAGUACAC
This is a long non-coding RNA of Leptinotarsa decemlineata (Colorado potato beetle), 91 nucleotides long. NCBI's taxonomy places the organism in Eukaryota, Metazoa, Arthropoda, Insecta, Coleoptera, Chrysomelidae. The record is from RefSeq and is a predicted model, not a curated record.